AGGACGAACGCUGGCGGCGUGCCUAAUACAUGCAAGUCGAACGGUCUUUCUAUGGAAGCUUGCUUCCACUGAAAAGAUAGUGGCGAACGGGUGAGUAACACGUGGGUAACCUGCCCAUAAGAGGGGGGAUAACAUCCGGAAACGGGUGCUAAUACCGCAUAGUUUUCUUGAUCGCAUGAUUGAGAAAGGAAAGACGGCCUUUGUGCUGUCGCUUAUGGAUGGACCCGCGGCGUAUUAGUUAGUUGGUGAGGUAACGGCUCACCAAGACGAUGAUACGUAGCCGACCUGAGAGGGUGAUCGGCCACAUUGGGACUGAGACACGGCCCAAACUCCUACGGGAGGCAGCAGUAGGGAAUCUUCCGCAAUGGACGAAAGUCUGACGGAGCAACGCCGCGUGAGUGAAGAAGGUUUUCGGAUCGUAAAACUCUGUUGUCAGAGAAGAACAAGUUGGAGGGUAACUGCUCCAGCCUUGACGGUAUCUGACCAGAAAGCCACGGCUAACUACGUGCCAGCCGCCGC
Molecule: ribosomal RNA, 519 nt
Filed under: uncultured bacterium
Lineage: Bacteria
Description: bacterial SSU rRNA
Rfam family: Bacterial small subunit ribosomal RNA
Source: RNAcentral